CUGCGGAAGGAUCAUUAUUGAAUAAGCUUGGUUAGGUUGUUGCUGGCUCUUCGGGGCAUGUGCACGCCUAACACCAAUYUUCUUACCACCUGUGCACCUUUUGUAGACCUGGAUAACUCUCGAGGAAACUCGGUAUGAGGACUGCUGUGCGUCAAAGCCAGCUUUCCUUACAYUUCCGGUCUAUGUCUUUAUAUACACCAUUUGUAUGACUAUGAAUGUUAUAUCGGACUUGACUGUCCAAAUAAACCUAAUACAACUUUCAACAACGGAUCUCUUGGCUCUCGCAUCGAUGAAGAACGCAGCGAAAUGCGAUAAGUAAUGUGAAUUGCAGAAUUCAGUGAAUCAUCGAAUCUUUGAACGCACCUUGCGCUCCUUGGUAUUCCGAGGAGCAUGCCUGUUUGAGUGUCAUGAAAUUCUCAACCUUUUCGGCUUUUUCUAAGUUGAUCAGGCUUGGAUGUGGGAGUUUGCGGGCUUCUCUGAAGUCGGCUCUCCUUAAAUUCAUUAGUAGGGACCUCUGUUGCCUUAGCUUUUGGUGUGAUAAUUAUCUACGCCAUYAUGUGAAGCAGCUUUAAAUUGGAGGUUACUGCUUUCUAACCGUCUCCCAUGGGACAUUUUCUGACAAUUUGACCUCAAAUCAGGUAGGACUACCCGCUGAACUUAAGCAU
RNAcentral lists this ribosomal RNA (665 nucleotides) under Tricholoma stans. RNAcentral's name for it is "eukaryotic LSU rRNA". The stretch from base 255 to 408 matches the Rfam family "5.8S ribosomal RNA". The record is from RNAcentral. Lineage: Eukaryota; Fungi; Basidiomycota; Agaricomycetes; Agaricales; Tricholomataceae.